Molecule: ribosomal RNA, 1231 nt
Filed under: uncultured bacterium
Lineage: Bacteria
Description: bacterial SSU rRNA
Rfam family: Bacterial small subunit ribosomal RNA
Source: RNAcentral
ACGCCCUUUGCGGCGGCUAACACAUGCAGUCGAGCGCGCCUUCGGGUGAGCGGCGGACGGGUUAGUAACGCGUGGGAACGUGCCCUUCUCUACGGAAUAGCCUCUGGAAACGGAGAGUAAUACCGUAUACGCCCUUUGGGGGAAAGAUUUAUCGGAGAAGGAUCGGCCCGCGUUAGAUUAGGUAGUUGGUGGGGUAACGGCCUACCAAGCCUACGAUCUAUAGCUGGUUUUAGAGGAUGAUCAGCAACACUGGGACUGAGACACGGCCCGGACUCCUACGGGAGGCAGCAGUGGGGAAUCUUAGACAAUGGGCGCAAGCCUGAUCUAGCCAUGCCGCGUGAGUGACGAAGGCCCUAGGGUCGUAAAGCUCUUUCGCCUGUGAAGAUAAUGACGGUAGCAGGUAAAGAAACCCCGGCUAACUCCGUGCCAGCAGCCGCGGUAAUACGGAGGGGGUUAGCGUUGUUCGGAAUUACUGGGCGUAAAGCGCACGUAGGCGGAUCAGAAAGUUGGGGGUGAAAUCCCGGGGCUCAACCCCGGAACUGCCUCCAAAACUUCUGGUCUGGAGUUCGAGAGAGGUGAGUGGAAUUCCGAGUGUAGAGGUGAAAUUCGUAGAUAUUCGGAGGAACACCAGUGGCGAAGGCGGCUCACUGGCUCGAUACUGACGCUGAGGUGCGAAAGUGUGGGGAGCAAACAGGAUUAGAUACCCUGGUAGUCCACACCGUAAACGAUGAAUGCCAGUCGUCGGCGCGCAUGCGUGUCGGUGACACACCUAACGGAUUUAAGCAUUCCGCCUGGGGAGUACGGCCGCAAGGUUAAAACUCAAAGGAAUUGACGGGGGCCCGCACAAGCGGUGGAGCAUGUGGUUUAAUUCGAAGCAACGCGCAGAACCUUUACCAACCCUUGACAUCCUGUGCUACAUCCAGAGAUGGAUGGUUCUCUUUCGGGGACGCAGUGACAGUGCUGCAUGGCUUGUCGUCAGCUCGUGUCGUGAGAUGUUCGGGUUAAGUCCGGCAACGAGCGCAACCCACAAUCCCUAGUUGCCAGCAGUUCGCUGGCACUCUUAUGGAACUGUCCGUGUAUUAGCGGGAGAGUGUUGAUGACGGUCAAGUUCUUCAUGCCCUACGGUUGGGCUCACACUGCCUACAUGUAGUGACAAUGGUUAAUCCAAGCUAAUCUCAGUCGGAUGAGUCGUCAACUCGACCGGCAUGAAGUCUGAAACUCGUCGUAGAUA